RNAcentral lists this ribosomal RNA (253 nucleotides) under uncultured bacterium. RNAcentral describes it as "partial 16S ribosomal RNA". It matches the Rfam family "Archaeal small subunit ribosomal RNA", at positions 474 to 727 of the family's 1478-position model. The record is from RNAcentral.
UACCAGCACCCCGAGCGGUCGGGACGUUUAUUGGGCCUAAAGCAUCCGUAGCCGGUUCUACAAGUCUUCCGUUAAAUCCACCUGCUUAACAGAUGGGCUGCGGAAGAUACUAUGGAGCUAGGAGGCGGGAGAGGCAAGCGGUACUCGAUGGGUAGGGGUAAAAUCCGUUGAUCCAUUGAAGACCACCAGUGGCGAAGGCGGCUUGCCAGAACGCGCUCGACGGUGAGGGAUGAAAGCUGGGGGAGCAAACCGG